GUGGCUGCAGAUCCACUCCCCGCGCGUCCACCGCAUCCUCCAUCACUUCCAUCCAUCCCUCGAAGGUCGCCACUUGAAACAAAGCCAGACGUCCUCCCAGUAAUCCAAGGUAAUCAGUUGAAAGGUGGUGAGCAUUGACCACAGGAAAUUAUCGAAGUUGGUGUAACCGUGGUUUGGAUUGGGUCCAACGCAGAGACAAGUGUAGCUCUCGUUGCAGUGCCUGGAAAAUAGGAUAGACAUGUAUCGGCUCGGGAAGGUAUUACACAAAUUCUCCAUUUUUCCGGCUUCUUUUACAAUCUCACGGGGGAUGAGAAUUCGAGUGGCACUUGUUUGGAGAUGUGUUUAUACAAGGUAACCGGUCGUCGGAUUAGCUU
Molecule: non-coding RNA, 374 nt
Organism: Linepithema humile (Argentine ant)
Lineage: Eukaryota; Metazoa; Arthropoda; Insecta; Hymenoptera; Formicidae
Source: RefSeq, a predicted model, not a curated record